RNAcentral lists this small RNA (1190 nucleotides) under Penicillium roqueforti. RNAcentral describes it as "eukaryotic LSU rRNA". The stretch from base 213 to 365 matches the Rfam family "5.8S ribosomal RNA". Lineage: Eukaryota; Fungi; Ascomycota; Eurotiomycetes; Eurotiales; Aspergillaceae. The record is from RNAcentral.
ACAAGGUUUCCGUAGGUGAACCUGCGGAAGGAUCAUUACCGAGUGAGGGCCCUCUGGGUCCAACCUCCCACCCGUGUUUAUUUACCUUAUUGCUUCGGCGGGCCCGCCUUAACUGGCCGCCGGGGGGUUUACACCCCCGGGCCCGCGCCCGCCGAAGACACCCCGAACUCUGUCUGAAGAAUGCAGUCUGAGAACAAAUAUAAAUUAUUUAAAACUUUCAACAACGGAUCUCUUGGUUCCGGCAUCGAUGAAGAACGCAGCGAAAUGCGAUACGUAAUGUGAAUUGCAAAUUCAGUGAAUCAUCGAGUCUUUGAACGCACAUUGCGCCCCCUGGUAUUCCGGGGGGCAUGCCUGUCCGAGCGUCAUUGCUGCCCUCAAGCCCGGCUUGUGUGUUGGGUCUCGUCCUCCGAUUCUGGAGGACGGGCCCGAAAGGCAGCGGCGGCACCGCGUCCGGUCCUCGAGCGUAUGGGGCUUUGUCACCCGCUCUGUAGGCCCGGCCGGCGCUUGCCGAUCAACCCAAAUUUUUAUCCAGGUUGACCUCGGAUCAGGUAGGGAUACCCGCUGAACUUAAGCAUAUCAAUAAGCGGAGGAAAAGAAACCAACAGGGAUUGCCCCGAUAACGGCGAGUGAAGCGGCGGAGCUCAAUUUGAAAGCUGGCUCCUUCAGGGUCCGCAUUGUAUUUGUAGAGGAUGCUUCGGGAGCGGCCCCAUCUAGUGCCUGAAACAGGACGUCAUAGAGGUGAGAUCCCGCUGGAUGGGUGUCUCGCCGUGUGAGCUCAUCACGAACGAGUUGUUGGGAUGCACUCUAAUGGGUGUAAUUUCUCUAAACUAAUAUGGCGGAACAAUAGCGACAAUAGGUGACGAAGUGAAAGUUUUUAAAGAAAUUAAAAGACUGAAUUGUGAAGGAACGUUGUACAGAUCCUCCGGGUCACCGGAUCGUGCGUGAUUCCCCGGCGGCAGCUCGGUUGGCGUCGUAAAGCCUCGAAGAACGCCUAGGCUCUAAACAAGGGCAUGGGCUGCUAACUAGACGCUUCGUCGACCUGAUAUGUCUAGGACCGCUGAACGACAGACUACUUACGAUGUCGGUCACCUGCGAUGACGACGAGGGACUUCGUGCUCACGUCAACUUGAGAUAAAAGGACUUGGCCAAAGGAUACCAAGGGACAAGACUUGAGCUAGUCAUGAUUCCAU